GAUGAACGCUGGCGGCGUGCCUAAUACAUGCAAGUCGAGCGAACAGAUGAGGAGCUUGCUCCUCUGACGUUGGCGGCGGACGGGUGAGUAACACGUGGAUAACCUACCUAUAAGACUGGGAUAACUUCGGGAAACCGGAGCUAAUACCGGAUAAUAUAUUGAACCGCAUGGUUCAAUAGUGAAAGACGGUUUUGCUGUCACUUAUAGAUGGAUCCGCGCCGCAUUAGCUAGUUGGUAAGGUAACGGCUUACCAAGGCAACGAUGCGUAGCCGACCUGAGGGGGUGAUCCGCCACACUGGAACUGAGACACGGUCCAGACUCCUACGGGAGGCAGCAGUAGGGAAUCUUCCGCAAUGGGCGAAAGCCUGACGGAGCAACGCCGCGUGAGUGAUGAAGGUCUUCGGAUCGUAAAACUCUGUUAUUAGGGAAGAACAAAUGUGUAAGUAACUAUGCACGUCUUGACGGUACCUAAUCAGAAAGCCACGGCUAACUACGUG
Molecule: ribosomal RNA, 497 nt
Filed under: uncultured bacterium
Lineage: Bacteria
Description: partial 16S ribosomal RNA
Rfam family: Bacterial small subunit ribosomal RNA
Source: RNAcentral